GACGAACGCUGGCGGCGUGCUUAACACAUGCAAGUCGAACGGAAAGGCCCUGCUUUUGUGGGGUGCUCGAGUGGCGAACGGGUGAGUAACACGUGAGUAACCUGCCCUCGACUUUGGGAUAACUUCAGGAAACUGGGGCUAAUACCGGAUAGGAGCUCCUGCUGCAUGGUGGGGGUUGGAAAGUUUCGGCGGUUGGGGAUGGACUCGCGGCUUAUCAGCUUGUUGGUGGGGUAGAGGCUUACCAAGGCUUUGACGGGUAGCCGGCCUGAGAGGGUGACCGGCCACAUUGGGACUGAGAUACGGCCCAGACUCCUACGGGAGGCAGCAGUGGGGAAUAUUGCACAAUGGGCGGAAGCCUGAUGCAGCAACGCCGCGUGCGGGAUGACGGCCUUCGGGUUGUAAACCGCUUUCGCCUGUGACGAAGCGUGAGUGACGGUAAUGGGUAAAGAAGCACCGGCUAACUACGUG
Molecule: ribosomal RNA, 468 nt
Filed under: uncultured bacterium
Lineage: Bacteria
Description: partial 16S ribosomal RNA
Rfam family: Bacterial small subunit ribosomal RNA
Source: RNAcentral